GUUGUUUUGCGCACAAAAUGUAUUCUCGUCGGUUUGGAACAACACGAGGUAUGGCGCCAUCUAUGGGCUCAAACGGUAACUGACUGGAGUAAAAAUGGCUUCGGAUUGUUAUGGAGAACGUGAUCCUUUUGGUUGAUCGCUAAGAGUCCCCAAGACACCGAAAACAUAGAAAGAACAAGGUACAGGUAAGACACAGAACAGACCUGCUGCAACACACCAAAUGAGAACCACUGCACUGAUGUAAACUAACCUGAAUCAUGCAAUAUAAUGCAGCUGAAUGCUUUGGACAAUGAAGAAGUAACAUGAAAGUACAGGGAAAGAGCAGAGGAGAACAGGACAGGGACAUGACCUUGGACCGAGGUGAACCCGGAUCCCUCUAUGUCACGGCACCAUUGACUAAUCUGUUGGCGGCCAACUAAAGUCAGAGAAAAAAGUCCAUCUGACAGCAGGACACAGAAGUACCUUUGUAUGUGAGAAUGUCAACAGUUACUCUGGGUGAAUACAGACGAGCACUGAGAAGGAAAGUGCAAGGACAGUGUAAAUGCACUGGAGGAAGUCGAGAAUACAGAUAAAUUGUGGGACUGACCCGUAUGUGUAUCUCUUCAAGGAAAGCUGGAGACCGCUCUGGGUCGCUGGAGAUGUCGUCCUCUGAUUCCUCCCAGGACGAGGAGAAUCCCGUUGAGGAGGCAGAAGACGAGGACAGCUUUCUUACGGCUCUG
This is a long non-coding RNA of Megalobrama amblycephala (Wuchang bream), 719 nucleotides long. RefSeq lists it as uncharacterized. The transcript is spliced from 6 exons. The record is from RefSeq and is a predicted model, not a curated record. NCBI's taxonomy places the organism in Eukaryota, Metazoa, Chordata, Actinopteri, Cypriniformes, Xenocyprididae.